GUGUACUAUGAGUAUGAAGUGAUAAAGGAGAUAUUUUUUUAUAGCAGUGGGACUCACCUGUACCAAAGUCAUUACAAAUGACUCAAUUCACAUAUCAGACUCUCAUUUUUCUCUCUUUUCAAUUACAUUUGCUCUCUCUUUCUCCUCUCUCAGUUCCCUUUUUCUUUUCUUUUACCAUCAUUUACAAGUUUGAUUUCUCUUCAACUUUUGGGAGUUUGUUAGUGUCAUUUGCGGCAAAUUGGAGAGUACAGCGAGAUCGACGCAUAGGUGUAAGCAAUUCCUUGUUUGGUGUACUUUUGGGAUUUCAAAUUUAGAACCCAUUUUAAGGGUUUUUGCAUCUUAAGAGUACAAGUUAGCAGUGAGGACAAAGACGUUUAAGGGAUAAAAAGCUUCGGUUUGUUAAAACUUCUUGAAACAAAGUCUUCGGGCAUAUGCCCAAGACGAGGAAGCUGGAAUGGGGUGUUGACGAUAAGUUCCGAGAGGAUCGACAGCGCAUGGAUGCCGAGGCGAGGGGUGUGCCAUAUAUACUGUAUUUUCCACCUUAUCCACCCUCGCCUACUAUUCUGUCUACCGACCAUGCUGAUGCAAUACUGACAGAGGAGGACAAUGCUGAGGAGUUUGAUGAUAAGGCUACGGACGAGGAGAUAGAUCUCUCCGAUAGCCAGCCCUCACUUAAGAGGAGGCCCAUUCCUAUAGCCCAGCCUGAGAGUUCUUCUUAGGCUGAUAUUAAAGUUUUACAGCCAGGGUGGCCGAGCUACAGGAUGGUCAGACGGUGCUGCGACAGAUGUUGACUGCGUAGCAGAGCAUAUUGGAGGAGUUACUGUACCGCACUCUGUCCACUCCAUCCACUUCUACAGAUACUCCUCCACCUUCUAUGGAUUAGCUUUCUAGGGCUUUUCUGUAUUUUUAUUGACUAGGGCAGUAUUUUUGAUGUAUUUAUUUUUAUAUGAUGUAUAUCUGCCUAAGUUUUUCUUUUAAAAAGCAUUGUACUGAUUUCUGAUAUAUAUACAUGCUUUUUGUUUUUAUUAUCCUUGUGUUGAUAUUUUAGUUCAUUGUGAUAUUUCUCUAUGAUUACUCUAUAUACUUGAUACUCUAAUGUGUGUUGGAGUUUAUUGAUUUUACCAGAUACUACAGAUUAAGUUUGGGGGUGAUUUGACUAAAAGCACCAUUGGGUGGUUUUUAGAGGAACCACUAUGUUGAAGGAGACGAUGCUAGAAAUUCAUUUUUACCCAUCUAUGCAUUAUUUUGACAUAUUUUUGUUGGUCUGCUUGUCUGGUAAUAUCUUUCUAGCUCUCUUUUGUUCUCACACAUUGAGGACAAUGUGCACACUAAGUUUGGGGGUAAGGUUGUGUUGGGAAAUUUUAAAUUUUUGCUUAUACAAGGAUAUGAUUAAUGGUUGAUGUUACAAGCAUGAAUUUGAGUCUGUUGAUGGUCAUGUAAUCUAUUUGCAGUCUGAUGUUGGUUAAAAAUGGUUUGAAUGCUAAAAUACUAUGAAAGGGAUUUCUUGAAAAAAAUUUAAAUCAGUUAGUGGUCUGUGGUCCACUUUGUUAAUUUGGUUAUUGUUUAAUAAUAUUGAUCUCUGAGAUGCUGCACUUUGCACAUAUUCACACUUGCAUAAAUUCUAUGGGGUAAAAACUAGAAGUCAUGUUUUAUUUUGAGUUAAACUGAGAUGAGCAGGUCGAUUCGAUAAUUUUGAUGACCAAGGCAUAAGAAAAAAAUAACUAAAUAAAAAUUAAAAAUUAAAAAUAAAAAUUAAAAAAAAAAUUUUAAAAAAAAUUGGUAUGUAUGCAAUACAAUAAAAAGAAAAAAUUCUUCACCAAUGUGAAUGAAAAAAAAAAUAAAAAAGAAGUAGAAAAUGAUCAAGUUCAAGUUUGUACUUAGAUUGCAUGAGUGAUUAAGUCCUUAGGGGUGCGUUCUGACACCUAAUGCCCUAAGAUCAUCUGGUCUGGGAGUCAUUGGCUGAAAGUUUGUUACAUAAGGGGUUUAGGUUGCCUAGAUUACUUGAACAAUUAAGUCCUUAGGGGUGUUUCAACAUUUAAUUUCGUAAAACCAUCUGGUCUGGGAAUCAUUGACUGAAAGUUUGUUACAUGGGUGAUUUAGAAAACUUAAUAGACCUGAACAUUACACAGUAUCCUUUUUGAAAAAAUGCAUACCCGUAGAAAAAAUAAUAAAGCCUUGGGAAUUGGAAUUUGAAAAGUUUACAUGUGAAUUGAGGAAUAGCAAGGAAUAAAUGCAAGUAUGGACAGUAAGUCACACGUUGAAUUGUAAGAUCACUUUAAAAAAGUGUUUUAGAGAUUAAGAUUGUUGAAUGAAUGAUUAAACUGAUAUGUAGACCAUGGUUGCUUAAUUGAAAUUAAAAAUUGAAAGUUUUUCUAAUUACAUGAUUGGUAUACUUGUUGUAUUUGACUGAUUAAUGAACUGUAGGGACAAUAUGAUUUAAAAGUAGGCUUGAAUAAGCUUACUGUGCAGUUAAGGCACUGAUUUGAGAAGUUUGUGGGUAUCUUCACUGGAAACCCUCACGAGACUAUAACUCGUCCACUAGGGGUAACUUAGGGGUUUAAAGGUUUGUUGCAUAGGCUAAAUGCAACCGUGAUUCCUACAAAAGCGGCUUUUUAGUUCUGUAUUGCUAAGGGACUAGCAAUAUGUAAGUUUUGGGGUGUGAUGAGCGUUGAAUAUAUGCAUAUUCGAGCCCUUAAAUAUACGUAUGUUAAGGCCUAAAGUGAUACUUCUAUCCAUAGUUAGACUAAUUUAUGUUUAGUGUGUGUUUACAGGUACUUUUCCAGAGAAAUGGUUAAAACUGGGACUUUAUGAUGAUAUCGAAGCUUACAGAGUCGUUGUCGGUCAUCCAGAGCAAGCCGAGAGCUUAAAUUGUGAAGUUUGAAGAAAUCCAAGCCCCAGAGCUCGAGCCCAAGUGUUGAGGCUCGAGCAUAGAAACAAAGAAAAGAAGAAAAGUCAAUAAGGCAUUGAAGCUCGAGCCUUGUACCUUUAGGCUCGAGCCUGAACCAAGGGUGCUCAAGAUUGACCAUAGGGUGCUCGAGCCUUGACCUUUAAGCUCGAGCACAAGGCGUCAGAAUUUAAAGAGUUGAUUUCCAAGCUCCCAGACCUCGUGCCUAACUCCAAGGAUCGAGCACCAUCAAUUGAAGCUCGAGCCUUGAGUCCCAAAUGCUCGAGCCUGGUACCUAGUGCUUGAGCCCAUGAAGCUUAGAUCGAGCAAUGUUAAAAGAUUUCAAUCUCAAAAAUAUUCUAAGUAUUGAAGAAAAAAGACGCUUCGGAAAAUAGUUGAAGAAAAUUGGCUAAGUGUCAAAGUGAAGAUCGAGCACCAAUUCUUGGAGCUCGAGCAUCAAUCCAGAGAAGCUCGAGCCUUGUUCCUUAAGCUCAAGCCUGAACCUUAAAGCUCGAGCCUUUAUUCCUAAAGCUCGAGCCUUCCAUGACCUGUCAGAAUUAAAGUACGGGAUUGCUCUCUUUAUCAGCCGUAUCGCAUCCCAGAUGGGCCAUAAGACCUAAAAGCCCACAAAAUGCUUAUUUUCUUCUAUAAAAGAAGGCGUAAACCUUGAUAGAAGAGGUCCAAAAUUUUAAGUCCUUUUUACGGUGUUAUUUAGAAGGCUGGUAGUGUGAUGGCUUUUAAGGUUCCUACAACCUUAGAAGGUGAAGAUCCUGAGAAGAGAAAUGUCGUCCGUGAUGAUAGAGACAACUCCAACACAGAUGAUACCCAACAUAGUCAUGAGUAGCUAAUUCCUCUCUUAGGGCACUGAUGUAACCCAAUCUAGUAUGAUGGUUUGAUUGUUCUUAACUCUGGGAUUAUUUUAAUAUAUUAUGUUUUCUUAAUUAUA
Cornus florida is the source of this 3830-nucleotide long non-coding RNA. RefSeq lists it as uncharacterized. NCBI's taxonomy places the organism in Eukaryota, Viridiplantae, Streptophyta, Magnoliopsida, Cornales, Cornaceae. The transcript is spliced from 3 exons. The record is from RefSeq and is a predicted model, not a curated record.